This 424-nucleotide ribosomal RNA is filed under the name uncultured bacterium. Its description in RNAcentral is "partial 16S ribosomal RNA". It matches the Rfam family "Bacterial small subunit ribosomal RNA", at positions 360 to 776 of the family's 1533-position model. The record is from RNAcentral.
AAUAUUGGACAAUGGGGGGAACCCUGAUCCAGCCAUGCCGCGUGUGUGCAGAAGGUCUUCGGAUUGUAAAGCACUUUAAGUUGGGAGGAAGGGCAGUAAGUUAAUACCUUGCUGUUUUGACGUUACAGCAAGAAUAAGCACAGGCUAACUUCGUGCCAGCAGCCGCGGUAAUACGAAGGGUGCAAACGUUAAUCGGAAUUACUGGGCGUAAAGCGCGCGUAGGUGGUUCGUUAAGUUGGAAGUGAAAGCCCCGGGCUUAACCUGGGAAUUGCUUUCAAAACUGACGAGCUAGAGUACGGUAGAGGGUAGUGGAAUUUCCUGUGUAGCGGUGAAAUGCGUAGAUAUAGGAAGGAACAUCAGUGGCGAAGGCGACUACCUGGACUGAUACUGACACUGAGGUGCGAAAGCGUGGGGAGCAAACAGG